ACAUGCAAGUCGAACGAGAGCGUAGAGAAAGCUUGCUUUUUCUACAAUCUAGUGGCAAACGGGUGAGUAACGCGUAAACAACCUGCCCUACGGAUGGGGACAAUAGCUGGAAACGGCUGCUAAUACCGAAUACGUUCCGAAAGUCGCAUGACUGUCGGAAGAAAGGAUGGCCUCUAUUUAUAAGCUAUCGCCGGAGGAGGGGUUUGCGUCUGAUUAGCUAGUUGGAGGGGUAACGGCCCACCAAGGCGACGAUCAGUAGCCGGUCUGAGAGGAUGAACGGCCACAUUGGAACUGAGACACGGUCCAGACUCCUACGGGAGGCAGCAGUGGGGAAUCUUCCGCAAUGGGCGAAAGCCUGACGGAGCAACGCCGCGUGAGUGAAGACGGCCUUCGGGUUGUAAAGCUCUGUUAUACGGGACGAAUAAUCUUGUGGUUAAUACCCAUAAGAAGUGACGGUACCGUAAGAGAAAGCCACGGCUAACUACGUGCCAGCAGCCGCGGU
RNAcentral lists this ribosomal RNA (502 nucleotides) under unidentified oral bacterium SH45. RNAcentral's name for it is "bacterial SSU rRNA". It matches the Rfam family "Bacterial small subunit ribosomal RNA", at positions 53 to 521 of the family's 1533-position model. The record is from RNAcentral.